UCGACUUACUUCGAUUUUUCACCAUUCCCAGACCCGUUGCUACUAUGAUACCAAUUUCUAAUGGUUGAGCUGAAAUUCUCAACCGAAAUACGUAAAUUUCAACAACACAAUUAGAAUCCAAAGGAAAUUCUCAACAUCCAGUCUUCAAUUAGGAUUCAGAAUGCAAUUACAGAGGAGAAAAUGAUUAAACAGAAAGAAAACAGAAAAGAGGAGAGAAGAAGUUCAGAGACAAUUUUUCGAAAAAUUCGUUUUCCUUUCCCUCCUUCUCCUGACAUUAUAACAGAAUAGCAAUUGUUUUUUUGGAAACACGCUUUAUAUAAAAUGCACUUAGCCUAUUAAUUCUCAAUAGAAAAUGACACCGUGCUGAAUUUGAAGUUUAAUUAGCCGUUGCAGUUCCUUUUUCCUUCUUCUUUCUUGUUCUGGCACUUCUCUGUCCCUUCCUUCCCUAAUUCAACUGAUUUUUCCUCUCUUUGUUUCUAUCAUAACAACUGUGAAUUACGCCUCAAAGAUGACUUACAAUUAAUGAAACACAACAACGGAUCGGUUGUUGAGUAUGUUUAUGUUUUCAAAGCACCAACUAUAUACAAUUGGUAGUCCAAUUGAUGGCACCAACAAGGUGCAUUGGUUUCUCCUUCGGCUUGGCAGUGAUUUCUCAAGCUUCUACACAGCACAGAUAGCCCAAACCUCUCCCCCAUCAUUUGCAGAUUUAGUCUCCAAAGUAGAAAUCUUUGAAAUUUUUCAGAAAUCCCUUGACUCAUCUUCCUCUAUUGCCGUACCCUUUAUUGUCACCAAAAAAUUCACCCAUCGUGGUGGUUCUUCUCACAACCAUUGAGGUCACUUCAAUGAGCGUAGGAGCAGUUCAUGCAGUCAUGUAUAGGGGCGCUCCAACUCUGGCUAAAAG
This 901-nucleotide long non-coding RNA is filed under the name Olea europaea subsp. europaea. Lineage: Eukaryota; Viridiplantae; Streptophyta; Magnoliopsida; Lamiales; Oleaceae. The record is from RNAcentral.